RNAcentral lists this ribosomal RNA (1423 nucleotides) under uncultured organism. Its description in RNAcentral is "partial small subunit ribosomal RNA". It matches the Rfam family "Bacterial small subunit ribosomal RNA". The record is from RNAcentral.
UGGCGUGCUUAACACAUGCAAGUCGAGCGAGGGAGCACCUUCGGGUGUGAACUAGCGGCGGACGGGUGAGUAACACGUGGGCAACCUGCCUUACAGAGGGGGAUAGCCUUCCGAAAGGAAGAUUAAUACCGCAUAUUAUGAUUUUUCUGCAUGGGAAAGUCAUGAAAGGAGCAAUCCGCUGUAAGAUGGGCCCGCGGCGCAUUAGCUAGUUGGUGAGGUAAGGGCUCACCAAGGCGACGAUGCGUACCCGACCUGAGAGGGUGAUCGGCCACAUUGGGACUGACACACGGCCCAGACUCCUACGGGAGGCAGCAGUGGGGAAUAUUGCACAAUGGGGGAAACCCUGAUGCAGCAACGCCGCGUGAGUGAUGACGGCCUUCGGGUUGUAAAGCUCUGUCUUCACGGACGAUAAUGACGGUACCUGAGGAGGAAGCCACGGCUAACUACGUGCCAGCAGCCGCGGUAAUACGUAGGUGGCGAGCGUUAUCCGGAUUUACUGGGCGUAAAGGAUGCGUAGGUGGAAUUUUAAGUGGGAUGUGAAAUCCCCGGGCUCAACCUGGGAACUGCAUCUGAUACUGGCAAGCUUGAGUCUCGUAGAGGGGGGUAGAAUUCCAGGUGUAGCGGUGAAAUGCGUAGAGAUCUGGAGGAAUACCGGUGGCGAAGGCGGCCCCCUGGACGAAGACUGACGCUCAGGUGCGAAAGCGUGGGGAGCAAACAGGAUUAGAUACCCUGGUAGUACACGCCGUAAACGAUGUCGACUUGGAGGUUGUGCCCUUGAGGCGUGGCUUCCGGAGCUAACGCGUUAAGUCGACCGCCUGGGGAGUACGGCCGCAAGGUUAAAACUCAAAUGAAUUGACGGGGGCCCGCACAAGCGGUGGAGCAUGUGGUUUAAUUCGAUGCAACGCGAAGAACCUUACCUGGUCUUGACAUCCACGGAAGUUUUCAGAGAUGAGAAUGUGCCUUCGGGAACCGUGAGACAGGUGCUGCAUGGCUGUCGUCAGCUCGUGUUGUGAAAUGUUGGGUUAAGUCCCGCAACGAGCGCAACCCUUAUCUUUUGUUGCCAGCGGUCCGGCCGGGAACUCAAAGGAGACUGCCAGUGAUAAAUUGGAGGAAGGUGGGGAUGACGUCAAGUCAUCAUGGCCCUUACGACCAGGGCUACACACGUGCUACAAUGGCGCAUACAAAGAGAAGCGACCUCGCGAGAGCAAGCGGACCUCAUAAAGUGCGUCGUAGUCCGGAUUGGAGUCUGCAACUCGACUCCAUGAAGUCGGAAUCGCUAGUAAUCGUGGAUCAGAAUGCCACGGUGAAUACGUUCCCGGUCCUUGUACACACCGCCCGUCACACCAUGGGAGUGGGUUGCAAAAGAAGUAGGUAGCUUAACCUUCGGGAGGGCGCUUACCACUUUGUGAUUCAUGACUGGGGU